GACGAACGCUGGCGGCGUGCUUAACACAUGCAAGUCGAACGGAGCGAAUGAAAGCUUGCUUUUAUGAGCUUAGUGGCAAACGGGUGAGUAACACGUAGACAACCUGCCGACAGUAUGGGGACAACAUUCCGAAAGGAAUGCUAAUACCGAAUGAAGCGGAGGAGAGGCAUCUCUCCUCCGUGAAAGAUGGCCUCUGAACAUGCUAUCACCUGUCGAUGGGUCUGCGUCUGAUUAGCUGGUUGGUGAGGUAACGGCUCACCAAGGCGACGAUCAGUAGCCGGUCUGAGAGGAUGAACGGCCACAUUGGGACUGAGACACGGCCCAGACUCCUACGGGAGGCAGCGGUGGGGAAUCUUCCGCAAUGGGCGCAAGCCUGACGGAGCAACGCCGCGUGAGUGAAGAAGGUCUUCGGAUCGUAAAGCUCUGUUGAUGGGGACGAACGUGCGAAGGGUGAAUAAUCCUUUGCAAUGACG
Molecule: ribosomal RNA, 473 nt
Filed under: Centipeda infelix
Lineage: Bacteria; Bacillati; Bacillota; Negativicutes; Selenomonadales; Selenomonadaceae
Description: bacterial SSU rRNA
Rfam family: Bacterial small subunit ribosomal RNA
Source: RNAcentral